This 564-nucleotide non-coding RNA is filed under the name Pan troglodytes (chimpanzee). The record is from RNAcentral. Lineage: Eukaryota; Metazoa; Chordata; Mammalia; Primates; Hominidae.
GAACACAAAAUGGCGACACGUGGUUAGCAUUCGUCGCCAACGAGAAAUUGGGGUCGGCCCGAAAGCUCUAGAAUGCACCCCCCUUCUUCCCCGGGGCCUUCCACCUCCGCGAGUUUUAUGACUUAAAAAACCCCACAGGCUGGUCUGAAGAGGAAGACAAACAUAAAGAUGAAGUGCUUAAUUCAAGGUCACACAAUGUCGGGGAUGGACCUCCAGAUUUCCUUACUGGAAAACAAGCUCAGGGCUCCCACUGAUUGUACAUUAUGGUGAGACGUGGUCUUGUAACACAGUGGUUAAGAAUGUGACUUUGGAGCCAGCCUGCUAGGGGCUGAAUUCUGACUCAGCCAUUUACUAACUGUGUGACCUUAGGUCACAGAAUUUUCCACACUCCUUGACGGAGGUGCUUAACCCUUAUCCAUCAGCAUUCUCAGACAGCACCUCCGGUUAGGGACAGUAUCUGACCGUCCGACAUCCCUGCAGCCCCCAUGUGUCACACAGACUCAGCCUCAGGUAGAUGGUUUCCGUAGAUGGUGGCUUUCUUUGGACCCUUGACAUCAACCAGUU